Ornithodoros turicata is the source of this 257-nucleotide long non-coding RNA. RefSeq lists it as uncharacterized. The record is from RefSeq and is a predicted model, not a curated record. Lineage: Eukaryota; Metazoa; Arthropoda; Arachnida; Ixodida; Argasidae. The transcript is spliced from 3 exons.
CCCUUCUCAAGAAAUUCGCUCACGGGGAGGAGCAUCACUGGCGAAGCAACGCGGAGCUAUAAAAAGGAGGCAAGGCCUGCCAAAAAGGCACUCACACCAAAGAAGCUGGUAGCAGUGCAGAUUGCCUUCAACAAGUACGUUGAGGAUACUACGCAGCCAGAGAGUGUUUCUGCGACCCAGGAAGAAAAGUUGAGGAGAGAGAAGGAGAAAACAAGCAGGAAGAACGCCUUCCGAGCUCACAUCAAGGGCAUAUGUUA